AGCGUAGGCGGCGUGGUAAGUCAGAUGUGAAAUCCCGGGGCUCAACCCCGGAACUGCAUCCGAUACUGCCGUGCUAGAGGAUUGGAGAGGUAGCUGGAAUUCACGGUGUAGCAGUGAAAUGCGUAGAUAUCGUGAGGAACACUCGUGGCGAAAGCGAGCUACUGGACAACUCCUGACGCUGAGGCUCAAAGGCCAGGGUAGCGAAAG
RNAcentral lists this ribosomal RNA (207 nucleotides) under uncultured bacterium. RNAcentral describes it as "partial 16S ribosomal RNA". It matches the Rfam family "Bacterial small subunit ribosomal RNA", at positions 568 to 774 of the family's 1533-position model. The record is from RNAcentral.